GACGAACGCUGGCGGCGUGCCUAAUACAUGCAAGUUGAGCGCUGAAGGUUGGUACUUGUACCAACUGGAUGAGCAGCGAACGGGUGAGUAACGCGUGGGGAAUCUGCCUUUGAGCGGGGGACAACAUUUGGAAACGAAUGCUAAUACCGCAUAAAAACUUUAAACACAAGUUUUAAGUUUGAAAGAUGCAAUUGCAUCACUCAAAGAUGAUCCCGCGUUGUAUUAGCUAGUUGGUGAGGUAAAGGCUCACCAAGGCGAUGAUACAUAGCCGACCUGAGAGGGUGAUCGGCCAAAUUGGGACUGAGACAAGGCCCAAACUCCUACGGGAGGCAGCAGUAGGGAAUCUUCGGCAAUGGAAGAAAGUCUGACCGAGCAACGCCGCGUGAGUGAAGAAGGUUUUCGGAUCGUAAAACUCUGUUGGUAGAGAAGAACGUUGGUGAGAGUGGAAAGCUCAUCAAGUGACGGUAACUACACAGAAAGGGACGGCUAACUACGUG
RNAcentral lists this ribosomal RNA (497 nucleotides) under uncultured bacterium. RNAcentral describes it as "partial 16S ribosomal RNA". It matches the Rfam family "Bacterial small subunit ribosomal RNA", at positions 28 to 507 of the family's 1533-position model. The record is from RNAcentral.